UAGAAUUCCACGUGUAGCGGUGAAAUGCGUAGAGAUGUGGAGGAAUACCGGUGGCGAAGGCGGCCUUCUGGACAGAUACUGACGCUGGGAUGCGAAAGCGUGGGGAGCAAACAGGAUUAGAUACCCUGGUAGUCCACGCUGUAAACGAUGUCGAUUUGGAGUUUGUUGCCUAGAGUGAUGGGCUCCGAAGCUAACGCGAUAAAUCGACCGCCUGGGGAGUACGGCCGCAAGGUUAAGACUCAAAUGAAUUGACGGGGGCCCGCACAAGCGGUGGAGCAUGUGGUUUAAUUCGAUGCAACGCGAAGAACCUUACCUGGUCUUGACAUCCACAGAAUCUUGCAGAGAUGCGAGGGUGCCUUCGGGAACUGUGAGACAGGUGCUGCAUGGCUGUCGUCAGCUCGUGUUGUGAAAUGUUGGGUUAAGUCCCGCAACGAGCGCAACCCUUAUCCUUUGUUGCCAUUGGUUCGGCCGGGAACUCAAAGGAGACUGCCGUUGAUAAAGCGGAGGAAGGUGGGGACGACGUCAAGUCAUCAUGGCCCUUACGACCAGGGCUACACACGUGCUACAAUGGCGUAUACAAAGGGAGGCGACCUCGCGAGAGCAAGCGGACCUCAUAAAGUACGUCUAAGUCCGGAUUGGAGUCUGCAACUCGACUCCAUGAAGUCGGAAUCGCUAGUAAUCGUGAAUCAGAAUGU
This 695-nucleotide ribosomal RNA is filed under the name uncultured Gilliamella sp. RNAcentral's name for it is "bacterial SSU rRNA". It matches the Rfam family "Bacterial small subunit ribosomal RNA", at positions 662 to 1357 of the family's 1533-position model. Lineage: Bacteria; Pseudomonadati; Pseudomonadota; Gammaproteobacteria; Orbales; Orbaceae. The record is from RNAcentral.